UACGUAGGGUGCAAGCGUUAAUCGGAAUUACUGGGCGUAAAGCGUGCGCAGGCGGUGAUGUAAGACAGUUGUGAAAUCCCUGGGCUCAACCUGGGAACUGCAUCUGUGACUGCAUCGCUGGAGUGCGGCAGAGGGGGAUGGAAUUCCGCGUGUAGCAGUGAAAUGCGUAGAUAUGCGGAGGAACACCGAUGGCGAAGGCAAUCCCCUGGGCCUGCACUGACGCUCAUGCACGAAAGCGUGGGGAGCAAACAGG
RNAcentral lists this ribosomal RNA (253 nucleotides) under uncultured bacterium. Its description in RNAcentral is "partial 16S ribosomal RNA". It matches the Rfam family "Bacterial small subunit ribosomal RNA", at positions 524 to 776 of the family's 1533-position model. The record is from RNAcentral.